Molecule: ribosomal RNA, 468 nt
Filed under: uncultured bacterium
Lineage: Bacteria
Description: partial 16S ribosomal RNA
Rfam family: Bacterial small subunit ribosomal RNA
Source: RNAcentral
GACGAACGCUGGCGGCGUGCUUAACACAUGCAAGUCGAACGGAAAGGCCCUGCUUUUGUGGGGUGCUCGAGUGGCGAACGGGUGAGUAACACGUGAGUAACCUGCCCUUGACUUUGGGAUAACUUCAGGAAACUGGGGCUAAUACCGGAUAGGAGAUCCUGCUGCGUGGUGGGGGUUGGAAAGUGUCGGCUGUUGGGGAUGGACUCGCGGCUUAUCAGCUUGAUGGUCGGGUAGUGGCUUACCAAGGCUGUGACGGCUAGCCGGCCUGGGAGCGUGAACGGCCACCUUGGGACUGAGAGACGCACCAGUAUCCUACGGGAGGCAGCAGUGGGGAAUAUUGCACAAUGGGCGGAAGCCUGAUGCAGCAACCCCGCGUUCGGGAUGACGGCUUUCUGGUGGUAAACCGCUUUCUAAUGUGACGAGGCGUGAGUGACGGUAAUGGGUAAAGAAGCACCGGCUAACUACGUG